GGUUAAGCGACUAAGCGUACACGGUGGAUGCCCUGGCAGUCAGAGGCGAUGAAGGACGUGCUAAUCUGCGAUAAGCGUCGGUAAGGUGAUAUGAACCGUUAUAACCGGCGAUUUCCGAAUGGGGAAACCCAGUGUGAUUCGUCACACUAUCAUUAACUGAAUCCAUAGGUUAAUGAGGCGAACCGGGGGAACUGAAACAUCUAAGUACCCCGAGGAAAAGAAAUCAACCGAGAUUCCCCCAGUAGCGGCGAGCGAACGGGGAGGAGCCCAGAGC
This 274-nucleotide ribosomal RNA is filed under the name Escherichia coli. RNAcentral describes it as "partial 23S ribosomal RNA". It matches the Rfam family "Bacterial large subunit ribosomal RNA", at positions 1 to 275 of the family's 2925-position model. Lineage: Bacteria; Pseudomonadati; Pseudomonadota; Gammaproteobacteria; Enterobacterales; Enterobacteriaceae. The record is from RNAcentral.